ACGGAAGGCAGCAGUGGGGAAUAUUGCACAAUGGGGGAAACCCUGAUGCAGCGACGCCGCGUGAGUGAAGAAGUAUUUCGGUAUGUAAAGCUCUAUCAGCAGGGAAGAAAAUGACGGUACCUGACUAGGAAGCCCCGGCUAACUACGUGCCAGCAGCCGCGGUAAUACGUAGGGGGCAAGCGUUAUCCGGAUUUACUGGGUGUAAAGGGAGCGUAGACGGCGAUGCAAGUCUGAUGUGAAAGCCCGGGGCUCAACCCCGGCACUGCAUUAGAAACUGUGUUGCUAGAGUGCAGGAGAGGUAAGUGGAAUUCCUAGUGUAGCGGUGAAAUGCGUAGAUAUUAGGAGGAACACCAGUGGCGAAGGCGGCUUACUGGACUGUAACUGACGUUGAGGCUCGAAAGCGUGGGGAGCAAACAGGAUUAGAUACCCUGGUA
RNAcentral lists this ribosomal RNA (434 nucleotides) under uncultured Lachnospiraceae bacterium. RNAcentral describes it as "bacterial SSU rRNA". It matches the Rfam family "Bacterial small subunit ribosomal RNA", at positions 341 to 792 of the family's 1533-position model. Lineage: Bacteria; Bacillati; Bacillota; Clostridia; Lachnospirales; Lachnospiraceae. The record is from RNAcentral.